GUGUUGGUGGUUCGGUGGUAGAAUUCUGGCCUGCCACGCGAGAAGCGCGGGUUCGAUUCCCGGCUAGUACA
This is a non-coding RNA of Chrysemys picta bellii (western painted turtle), 71 nucleotides long. NCBI's taxonomy places the organism in Eukaryota, Metazoa, Chordata, Testudines, Emydidae. The record is from the annotation of a RefSeq genome assembly.